UACGGGGGGAGCAAGCGUUGUUCGGAUUUACUGGGCGUAAAGGGCGCGUAGGCGGCCACCGCAAGUCGACUGUGAAAUCUCCGGGCUUAACCCGGAAAGGUCAGCCGAUACUGCGGGGCUAGAGUGCAGAAGGGGCAACUGGAAUUCUCGGUGUAGCGGUGAAAUGCGUAGAUAUCUGGAGGAACACCGGUGGCGAAGGCGGCAUCCUGGACCGGUAUUGACGCUGAGGCGCGAAAGCUAGGGGAGCAAACGGG
RNAcentral lists this ribosomal RNA (254 nucleotides) under uncultured bacterium. RNAcentral's name for it is "partial 16S ribosomal RNA". It matches the Rfam family "Bacterial small subunit ribosomal RNA", at positions 524 to 776 of the family's 1533-position model. The record is from RNAcentral.